Long non-coding RNA from Zalophus californianus (California sea lion), 1487 nucleotides. RefSeq lists it as uncharacterized. Lineage: Eukaryota; Metazoa; Chordata; Mammalia; Carnivora; Otariidae. The transcript is spliced from 6 exons. The record is from RefSeq and is a predicted model, not a curated record.
GGCAGACGCUUCACCAUCUGAGCCACCCAGGCGCCCUACAUUAUAGUGUUUUUAUUUCGGCACCUGAUAAUUCAGAAUACAUCUUCAAACCUGUUUUAAAAGCUGUCCCCCGCUUUUUGGACCAACAUUCUGCCACACCCUACACGUCCUCAGCACAGAUCUGGGAUAAUGCCCAAAUUAGCCAAUCUGGGCAGGGAUGAGUCACUGAUUUGCAAAAGUUUGGAUGUGCACUGUUCGCCAAGCCAGACGCAUGCCCACUCAGGCCCUGGGGCAUCACUACUUUCUGUGGGGUCAGCACCCAGAGAGCGGCGGCAGCCCCUACCGCGGCCCCGGGCCUGGUAGAAGGGCUCGUGCGCGCCCCACAGUCAGAUCCAGCAGCCGCGCAAGCCCAGUCAAGGGGCGCAGGGGCCGCCUCCGGAGUCCGGGAAGGAGGAGGACCCGCUUCCUAAUCCCACACUGGGGCGGGCCGCUGGGGUUGCCAAGCGCGCCCCCCCCCACCCCCCGCUCGCGGGCGGGACGCCGUGGCCGAGGCUGCCAGUCGCCGCGGAGGGUGCCCCGCGCCCCUCACCGCCCGCCCCAGGAUCAAUGCGUGGUUAUCCUUACGAGCAAAAACUGAGGUUUCCUGAAGAAAAAAAAAAAUUCUGCUUCAAGACUGCAAAAUAGAAAGCCGGCUAACUUUCCAGCCUUCAGAUUUUGAAUACAAGACUGCAACAUCAAUUCUUCCCUGAAUUUCUAGCUUGCCAGCCUGCUCUGCGAAUUCCAGACUUGUCAGCCCCCACAAUCUAGCAUGAAAGUUCCAGUUGCUCCACAUCCUUGACAACAGUUGAUAUGGUUGUGAGCUGAAUGAAGGCGGAAAUUGUUUCGACUUGUUCACUAUUGAAUUACCAGACACGGCAGAGGGACUUGUUCUGGGGUGCAAGUUUCCUUGACGCACUCAUGAAGACCUGCAUCAUGAACUGGAAGGAACCUAGCUCUGCACUGGACAGAGCUGACUUUUACCCCUGGCUUGAAGUUGUUGUGAGGACUCAAGGAGAUAAUGUGAUUAACGCCCUUAGGAGACCGGAUCACACAUGCUGGGGACAUGUACUUUUUUGGCAAUGGCUGUCAGAAGAUGAGGCUGAACACCGUUGCUGAUGGUGAGGAGCAGGAUUCCAACUGCAAGGGGAAGGAGGGCUAUACCAUCAAGCCAGCGUCAAAGAAAAACUGUUUGACAACAUGCAAGAACUUUGCUGUGAAACUGUGAGAACGUGUGCGAGAACUUGGGUCGUGGCCGCAGAAUGUUCUACCCAAACAGGAAUACUGGGGGAAUGUUAGUGUGCCAACCCCUGAAGAAUUCACUUUACAGGAGAGCCACAAGUUCCAGUAUUUAAAAAUGUGUCUCGGGACGCCUAGGUGGCUCAGUGAGUUUAAGCGUCCUCUUUCAGCUCAGGUAAUGAUCCCGAAGUCCUGGGAUCAAGCCCUGUGUUGGGCUCCCUGCUCAGCAGGGA